Molecule: ribosomal RNA, 253 nt
Filed under: uncultured bacterium
Lineage: Bacteria
Description: partial 16S ribosomal RNA
Rfam family: Bacterial small subunit ribosomal RNA
Source: RNAcentral
UACGGGGGGAGCAAGCGUUGUUCGGAUUUACUGGGCGUAAAGGGCUCGUAGGCGGCCAACUAAGUCGGAUGUGAAAUCCCCAGGCUUAACCUGGGAACUGCAUCCGAUACUGGAUGGCUUGAAUCCGGGAGAGGGAUGCAGAAUUCCAGGUGUAGCGGUGAAAUGCGUAGAUAUCUGGAGGAAUACCGGUGGCGAAGGCGGCAUCCUGGGCCGACACUGACGCUGAAGCGCGAAAGCCAGGGGAGCGAACGGG